Molecule: unclassified non-coding RNA, 1039 nt
Filed under: Pyricularia oryzae
Lineage: Eukaryota; Fungi; Ascomycota; Sordariomycetes; Magnaporthales; Pyriculariaceae
Description: sequence contains ITS1, 5.8S rRNA gene, ITS2
Rfam family: 5.8S ribosomal RNA (bases 634-787)
Source: RNAcentral
AACUGGGGGAUUCUACCUGAUCCGAGGUAACCUUUAAAAAUUGGGGGUUUAGCGGCUGGAGCACGCCGGGACGAUCCGAACGAGGUUCGCGUUUUACCGCGUUUUACUGCGCUCAGUGUACCGACGAGCCCGCCGAUGAACUUGGGGGCCCCGGGCCGCGGAGGGCCCGGGCGCCCCCACACCCAGCCGAGGCCUGCGGGUUGAAAUGACCCCCCAACCGGCCUGCCCACCGGACACCGCCGGGCGCAACGUGCCCCCCAAGCUCCAAUGAUUCACUGCACAUCUCCCACUACCUCACGUCCCGCAUUUCGCCCCGCUACUCCUCGCUGCCAGACCCCACACCUCCCCUGUUGAACCUCCUAUUGUCUCCCUUCCAGGCUCCCACAUACUGGACCACUACCAGUCUGAACCUCCGGCGGGCUCCCCCCCCCAAACAACAAAACGGCCACGUCACCCGGACGUGGGAGUUUUCCGCUCUCUCUGCCCCCCCCGCCUGCGGAGAGGAUCAUUACUGAGUUGAAAAACUCCACCCUGUGAACAUAACCUCUGUCGUUGCCCCGGCGGGCACGCCCGCCGGAGGUUCAAAACUCUUAUUUUUUCCAGUAUCUCUGAGCCUGAAAGACAAAUAAUCAAAACUUUCAACAACGGAUCUCUUGGUUCUGGCAUCGAUGAAGAACGCAGCGAAAUGCGAUAAGUAAUGUGAAUUGCAGAAUUCAGUGAAUCAUCGAAUCUUUGAACGCACAUUGCGCCCGCCGGUAUUCCGGCGGGCAUGCCUGUUCGAGCGUCAUUUCAACCCUCAAGCCUCGGCUUGGUGUUGGGGCCCCCCUCCACCCUGUCCCCUCCCCACAUCCCCGCCUCCCCCUCACCAACACCCCCCCCCCCCCCCCCCAAAUCCCACCCCAGCCCCCCCCCACCCUCAACCCAAUCCCCACCCCCCCACUCCCCCCCCCAUCAUCCCACUCCCCCCCAACACCCCCCACUCUCUCCACACUAUCAAAUACCCCUACCAAUAAUUCCCUACCUCCCUUUACACCCCCAA